Gracilinanus agilis (Agile Gracile Mouse Opossum) is the source of this 198-nucleotide small nuclear RNA. RefSeq annotates it as U2 spliceosomal RNA. Lineage: Eukaryota; Metazoa; Chordata; Mammalia; Didelphimorphia; Didelphidae. The transcript has a single exon. The record is from RefSeq and is a predicted model, not a curated record.
AUCACUUCUUGACCUUUUGGCUAAAUUCAAAUGUAGUAUCUGUUCUUAUCAGUGAAUAUCUGUUAUAUUUGGGAAGCUGUAAAAUGCCAGGGGUCUGUAGCAAUCAAGUCUCACUAAUCUUUGGUAUAUGGAGAGGACACCCACCCACAAACAGGCUUGACUGAAGGGAGGGGCACGCUCUUGCUGAGUGCUCCUUUA